AGGAGUCUAGCCUGCCCAGUGACAUUUUAACGGCCGCGGUACUCUGACCGUGCAAAGGUAGCAUAAUCAUUUGCCUUAUAAUUGAAGGCUAGUAUGAAAGGUCUGACGAAAGCUAUACUGUCUUUUAUUGAAUAAAAUGAAAUUGACUUAUAGGUGCAAAGGCCCGCAUAAAACUAAAAGACGAGAAGACCCUAUUGAGCUUAAAAGAUUUAGUAGAGUGUAACAUAUUAUACAAAAUUUUAACUCUUAAAAGUUUUUAGUUGGGGCGACUUUGGAACAAUAGUAGCUUCCAAAUAUGUAAAAUAUUCUUAAGUACUGAUCCGAAAAAUUUUGAUUUAUAGAAUUAGUUACCAUAGGGAUAACAGCAUAAUCUCCCUUAAGAGUCCUAAUCGAAAGGGGGGCUUGCGACCUCGAUGUUGGACUAGGGUAUCCUGAGGGUGCAGAAGCUCUUAAAGGUUGGUCUGUUCG
Molecule: ribosomal RNA, 468 nt
Filed under: Pomacea guyanensis
Lineage: Eukaryota; Metazoa; Mollusca; Gastropoda; Architaenioglossa; Ampullariidae
Description: partial 16S ribosomal RNA
Rfam family: Bacterial large subunit ribosomal RNA
Source: RNAcentral